UACGUAGGGGGCGAGCGUUGUCCGGAAUUAUUGGGCGUAAAGAGCGUGUAGGCGGUUCGGUAAGUCUGCCGUGAAAACCCAGGGCUCAACCCUGGGCGUGCGGUGGAUACUGCCGGGCUAGAGGGUGGUAGAGGCGAGUGGAAUUCCCGGUGUAGCGGUGAGAUGCGCAGAUAUCGGGAGGAACACCAGUAGCGAAGGCGGCUCGCUGGGCCAUACCUGACGCUGAGACGCGAAAGCGUGGGGAGCAAACAGG
Molecule: ribosomal RNA, 253 nt
Filed under: uncultured bacterium
Lineage: Bacteria
Description: partial 16S ribosomal RNA
Rfam family: Bacterial small subunit ribosomal RNA
Source: RNAcentral